Molecule: ribosomal RNA, 207 nt
Filed under: uncultured Acidobacteriota bacterium
Lineage: Bacteria; Pseudomonadati; Acidobacteriota
Description: uncultured Acidobacteria bacterium partial 16S ribosomal RNA
Rfam family: Bacterial small subunit ribosomal RNA
Source: RNAcentral
UGUGUAGGCGGUUCGCCAAGUUCGGUGUGAAAUCUCCCGGCUUAACUGGGAGGGUGCGCCGAAUACUGGCGGGCUAGAGUGCGGGAGAGGAGAGCGGAAUUCCUGGUGUAGCGGUGAAAUGCGUAGAUAUCAGGAGGAACACCUGCGGUGUAGACGGCUCUCUGGACCGUUUCUGACGCUGAGACACGAAAGCGUGGGUAGCAAACA